RNAcentral lists this ribosomal RNA (439 nucleotides) under uncultured bacterium. RNAcentral's name for it is "partial 16S ribosomal RNA". It matches the Rfam family "Bacterial small subunit ribosomal RNA", at positions 339 to 795 of the family's 1533-position model. The record is from RNAcentral.
CUACGGGGCGCAGCAGUGAGGAAUAUUGCACAAUGGGGGGAACCCUGAUGCAGCAACGCCGCGUGGAGGAUGACGCAUUUCGGUGUGUAAACUCCUUUUAUAUGUCAAGAAAAUGACGGCAGCAUAUGAAUAAGCACCGGCUAACUCCGUGCCAGCAGCCGCGGUAAUACGGAGGGUGCAAGCGUUACUCGGAAUCACUGGGCGUAAAGGACGCGUAGGCGGGUUGGCAAGUCAGGUGUGAAAUCCUACAGCUUAACUGUAGAACUGCACUUGAAACUUCUAAUCUAGAGUAUGGGAGGGGGAGAUGGAAUUAGUGGUGUAGGGGUAAAAUCCGUAGAUAUCACUAGGAAUACCUAAAGCGAAGGCGAUCUCCUGGAACAUUACUGACGCUAAGGCGUGAAAGCGUGGGGAGCAAACAGGAUUAGAUACCCCGGUAGUC